This 977-nucleotide long non-coding RNA is filed under the name Gallus gallus (chicken). RNAcentral describes it as "lncRNA (ENSGALG00010007489.1)". The record is from RNAcentral. Lineage: Eukaryota; Metazoa; Chordata; Aves; Galliformes; Phasianidae.
UCUGCCUCACAUGUCAUCCAGCACCAGGUUGAAUUUGGGGUCCCUCAUGUGUGCAAUUCGUGACAGCACUGCAGAGCUCUACUCAUGCUCCUUGCACCACACUGGCAUUGCAGGCAGCAAGUAGCAGGUUGUUUGCCACGGGUGACUGAUUUUAGCCAUAUAUUUAUCUGCUUCAGCCUUGCGUGUUGAUUCCCAGCUACAUCCUGCUCUUAACAUCCCUUUUCGGAGGCACCAAAAAGAAGAAUCAUUGAAUGAUUUGAGUUGGAAGGGACUCAUAAAGACCAUCUAGUCCAGUUCCCCUGCCAUGAACAGCUCGAUCAGGUGCCCAGAGCCCCAUCCAGCCUGACCUGGAGUGUCUCCUUAUUCCUGACCUUCCACUGGUGCUCAAAUUUGGACUUCUGCAACAUCCUUUCAGAGAGAGCCAACUUCCGUUCUGAUUUAAGAAAUCAUCCAAUUAGACUAACAGCUGCAGAGAUUGGAAUAAGCCUUGCAUGUGAGAAAAUUAAAGAAAAUGCAGCUGAGUACUAUGCAAAGCAGUGAAGGUCUGAUGGCUGUGAAAAGGGUUAACACUUCAACAUACUGAAGCAAAUUGAGCAUAUGGGAAGAACUGCAGCUGUAAAGCAUCAGCUAGCAAGAAAGCCUGGCCCAUCAGAGAGUCUGGGAUGUGACAAGUCAAAGCGUGAUGGAAACACUGCACUUCCACUGAAGAUCUCACAGCUGCAGUGCAGGGUUUGAGAGAGCUAUCCCCCAUGUAAUAUACUCAGUCUACAGCAGAAUUCAGGACAAGGUGGCUGUGUGAAUCCAGUUAUUUACUUACUCCUGAAAGCCCAGAAGAAAUGAAGAUCACACUGUGUUAGGCACCAGCCUGAGUGGAAAGUACAGAAUCCUCUGUGGAAGUGAAUGAAUAUCAUAUGAAGGAAGCGAGUGAGACAGUCACAGGAACGAAGGACAGCUGAGGUAGGACAGCACCUCUGGAA